AAAAAAAAUAAAGAAAAGAAAAAAGAACUACUCUGAAAUUUCAUUUUUUAAUUGCUGCCUUAAUUUGAUGUCUUAUAAUAUGCUUUUAAAGUUGUCUGAGACUACUGAAGUCAAACAGUACAAAUUAACUAUAAAUGAUCUUAGUUAUUAUCCAGUCAUUAUUUUUAUUUUGCUAAUGAAUUUAGGAACUCCUGAUAAAAGUUAUAUCUUGGAAUUCUCCAAGUCAUCUCUGGAUUUAGCACAUAACAAGCACUUCCUGAGUUCGGUGCUUGAGUCAGGUGCUUUGGGUAGGGUAGGUAACUAAUAAAACUUGAAACAAACCUUUUGAGCAUUUAUUUGAAGAAUGUCUUGGUGAAAAGUGUGACAAGAAUGGUGGACGAUGUUAGAACAACUCUUCUUUUUGGGAUUUAAAAACAGCCAUUCUUCUAUGAAUUGUUAGAUGCUAUUCUCAAAAUUUUUAGGAUGUAAAAUGUUCUGGGUGUAUAAAGACUUUUGAUGUGAACAAUGUCUUUUGUGUAAUAUAUUUUCAAAUUGGUAGUUUUACAUUACUUUGGGAGUAUUAUUUAAUUACUCUUUGAGAGUCAACAGAGGAGUGAAUGAAUAGGAAUCAUCGUUGGCAAUAGACACUCUUCUCCAUAUGCCAGAAACUAAAUAAGACACAGAUAGAGCUUCAUCAAGCAACAGCUUGUUGAAUUAUAACAUCCAGCAAUUCCUUAACAGCCUAAAGUAAUUUAUCUUACCAGGUGCAUGGCUGUCUUUGGAAGGCUGAAGUUUAACUUGAACUAUACUUUUUUAUUUAAACAUAUUCUGGCUGCUUCCUGUGUAUACAGCUGGGUCUAAAGUAUGGCAAGUUUGUUCAUAUGGAACUCAGGCGGAUUUAAGUCUGAUGUAAAGGAAUUUCCCAUCUUCCUGUCUGGCUUUAUGCACAGGGUUAUGGUGUAGGCUCAGCCCUGCGCAGAACUGUGGAGAGAAACAGAAGCCAGGCCUGCAUGUGUGUGUCUUGUUCAGUGAAAAGCUAUCAAAAGUGUACUGAGAUUCUGUCCAUUUUCAAUUUAUAGGACAAUUAACUUGGAUUUUUAGAAGCUCUGUUUUAAAAGUGGCUUGUCUGUGAGAUCUCCCUAGAUGUUAGUUCCUGGGCUCUCAAAAUACUUAUGAUAGUGACUGGCCCCACAGGCAUGAAAUGUCACAGUCCUUUACAUAUCAUGGCUGAUGGUGCCAUCAUAGUCACCACUGCUAUUGCCCCAAUCACAGUCAGAAAGCAAUUCUCCACACCCUUUUAUUAGCAAAGUUGUAUACAGAGUAAGUCACACAGCUAAGUAUUUGGCCUAAAGACUGACAGUGCUCAUGUAUACACAGGCAGAGGAGUUACUAAUGAUGAAUAAAAAAAUCAAAUGACUGUUCAUUCAGCACGUGUUUACUAAAUGAUGAGGGAUGCAAGGUGUUGUGGAGAAUUCACAUGGUACCUUGCCAAAGGGUCAUGUGGUCUGGUAUAUGCAUAGAAUAGACCAUUUCCACUCAAGUGGUUUAACAUUUGAGGUGGCCUCUGAAAGCCUGUGACAAAGGCUGAUUUCUUGUUUUGCUGAGGCAUGAUUUUGAGUCAGACACUUCGGAAGGCUGAUGCAGGGUAACUAAUCUAGGAGUACAUUUAGCAAGUUGACUGGUAUCCACAUUUGAGGUCAGUGUUUUUUCCACUCAUUGUUUAAUAUAUAAAAUGCCUUUGAGGUGAAAUAGGCUUUCUGUGUGAACAAUUGCUUUGCGAAGAAAGUCACCUUCUACUGUUGGAAAGUGUUUAAGUUCAAGUUUAAGGCUUGAAGGUUCUCGGGCAGAAAAUGGAAUCACUGAAGGCCUCAAGACAACACUUAGCAUUUUGCUGCUUGUAUGAAGGGGAUUAUACUUGCCAGCUGGGACCUGAACUCCUCAUAUGAGUCUAUUGUGUGGGUGGGUGCUGUUAGGGCCUUAAGGAGAGCGUGGAUGCAGAAGAAUUUGUUCCCGACUUGAAGCAGAGUUUCUUCAUAAGCUCCUUCUUCUGGGCCCUAAUUCCAGGUGAUUCCCGUUCCUUCAGAAGUAGAGCAUUAUUCAUAUUUGUGGGAAGAUUCCUGGCAUUUAUUAUGUAGAUGGGAUCAGUUUACUGUGCACAAGUAUAUUAUAUAUUUUUGCAUCUAUGUUCAUAUACACACAGAGACAGGGCAAGGGAAAGCUUGGAAGGGGAAGGAAAAGUCAUAAAGUACAGUGGCAGAGGAUAUUUACUUCCCACCAAAAUCCAUGUUUUCCUCUUCCUGAGCUGACAGCACGAAUGCAUUUGUAGCUUUCUUUGUGGAUAGGUGCAGCCCUGUGACUGAGUUCUAGUCAAGAGCGUGACCAUGGUGAAGAUAGGGAGCCUGUCAGACUGAAUCCAGGGUUUAGCAUAGGAAGAGGAACAAGAAACAAAGGUGUUUGAGCUAUUAGACAUUUCUGGGUUAAUUUCAGCAGUGACUAGUUUUUCCUAACUAAUACUAUAGCUAUGUGUGGGCAGAGAGGCAAAUCCUGAGGUUUCAGUACCUUAGUCUUACUUUGUCAGGUUACCUGAUCUAGUUGUUUCCACCUGAAUGACAGACAGGGCUCUUGGUUGAGGGUGGUUACUGUCCUUGUAGGCUUAGACUGUGUGUGUACUACACUCACCAUUUAUAGAUAUCUGUGCUUCUGUACUCAGUCCUUCACUCACAGGCUUAGGGUAAAUCUAUGGAGUAUGAACUGGUGCUUCACAUUUUCCUCCUCUUUUCCUCAAUUAUCUUAGUGCCUGCCUUAUGCUCGGUGAUAUUGGGAAUAAUGAAAAAAACAUGGAUUCUGUUCGCAAAGAUACUCAGUUGAAAUUGAAAUUUUGUCAAGAGUUGAGAGCUGUUUUAGCUUCAGGUGCUGUUUCUCUUUUAUUCCUAACCCAAUCAGGUUUACCAAGACCACUACACAACUCUACUUAGUAUUGCCUUCCCUUCCCACAUGGACCGCUUAGCAGGUAUGGCAUUGUCCAGAGCAAGUUGAUUGCGUGCCCUUUUCUUCUUAAAUUCUGUUGAGCUGGACCCAUAGUAAAAGAAUCACAAUUGUUACUUUUCUGAGGAACAACUGAGUACUGUGAGAUAAGGGGAAUAGUCAGAAAAUCCUGUUCAGCUGUGUUUUAGCUGUGAGUUUCAGCAGAUUCAAUGGCUCCUUUCAUUUCGUUUAUCAGUGUAUUGCAAGUUGAAUUCAAAUGUCAACCAUUUUCUUCUUUUCUAGGCACUUACCAGUUUUUAUCAUUACAUCAAUUGGGUUAUUACUGUCACUUGUCUGUUUUCCUCCUAGGAUGAUAUACUUAUCCCCUGAGGUUGGCACCAGACCUCAGCUGUCUUUGCGCUCAUUUCACUAGUCCCUUACUCUAAGCAUAACACAGUACUCUUUUUAUAUCAUGUAUGGCUCAGUCAGUGUUUGGUGAAUAAUGGAUUACUUAUAUUUCUUACACCGGUAGAACUUCUUGAGUUUCAUGCUUGGUGAAUUGUUCUUCCUAUGUGGAAAGUUAACUUCCGUGUUACUUCCUUAUACCAUUGUGUUGCUGUUGAUCAUGUGAUAUUUCAUCUUGUUGUUUACCUUUUGUGACACUACUUUGGCUUUAGCUAGUAACAGGAGUCACCCAGCGUGAGGUUUAAGGAGAAAAAGUGAUGGAGUGCUGAAGGUUUCUGUGUGAAUGUAGUAGGAUGUCUUGAACUGGUCCACCAUAUAGUUCUAUAGCUCAUGUCUGGUGAAUGGUACUGGACCACAUUCCUUUGCUUUUAUUGGUAAAAGAAUCAUCUCAUGAGCUGGGUGUGGUGUUGCGUUACUGUAAUGCCAGCUAACUUGAGGGAGGCGGAGGCAGGAGAAUUACAACUUUUCCAGUCCUGACAAAGUUAGAGAGCUCUUCUCUCAAAAACAAAAUAAAAACGGAAGAACUGGGACAUGGCUCAAAUGGUAGAGUGCUUGCAUGUGUGAGGUCCUGGCUUUAAAGGAAUCUUUUCAUGUUACAUGUACUAUGUUCAGUCUAAUAAAAAAACAAAGAAUUUAUCUUCCUGCCUGGUGACUUGUUUGUAUUUUAGGUCCUGCUUGACUCACUGAAGGUUCCAGAGAGUUCUCCAAAAAGGGACUUAUGCACAUACAUAGUUAGGCUUGUUUCCCUAAUAAAAUUACAGCUGAAAUUCUUCCCUUGGGGACUUGUUAUGUUCCUUCCUAAAAGCGUAUUUUAAUAGUGAUAGUGGAACAGAGUGGUGACCUAACAGGACUUAAGACACGGAGGGCUAGGAGAGAAGCUAUGUGUAGGAGGACCUGCCACUCUUCCUUUGUAAGUAGCGUUUUCAUCAGCAUCUCUGUUUCUUAGUGCAGCAGCAGCAGCACUGUCAUCCACAUGUUCCUUCAUUUUUGGGCUCAACAGCUGUCUUCCCUUCCCCGGCUGAGAGAUGACUGAAAUAAAGGGUCAGACCUUUUCCUCUGAUCUUGUUCUUCCUGCCUCUUUUGUCAGCUUAAGGUUCUUUUGUCAAAAGUCGGUGAAAUGAAAGAUCAUCUUCACAUCUUUGAUUCUUUGACCUUUACAUUUAAGAAUCUGUGAUACAAACAUUUUGGUACUGACUUGUUGCUUAACUUGAACUAGGUUUGUGAUGACAGGGAAAUGACUGUUUCUUUCACGCUAUUUAGAAAGCUAUAUGAAUUCCAUAAUAUGGGAUUCUCUGUCAUAAAUUGGCUCCAAGAAAGUAUAAGCAUUUGUGUUGAAAACAGGUAGGUAAUUCUCUCUUUUCAAAGUAGUUUGUGAUGAUUAAUUGUGCAAGCGUUAAAUUUUCCCUGCAUCUCAAAUCACUGUACUAAAUGAUGCGUUGGUGUAUAGCCUCAUCUACUUUCAGGAAAUCGUUUUAGAGAAGUCCUCUUGAAACAUCAAUGUGUUACAGGGUUAUAAGAAAAGCGCCUUGUUUAUUAUGAACACAGAUUAUUGGCGCUUUCUCUAACCGUGCUAAAUGGCAUGAGUCUACCUUUCCUAGUGGCCUAAAUGAUGUUGUUUUAAAUGGUGACCUGAGAAACUUGCCUAUUGACUCUGCAAGUACAUGUCAGACCAGAGACCUACAGAAGGGGCAUUUUUGAACAAACAGUAAUGAUGAAUAAGUACAAGAAAAUGAUUUAUUGUAAACAAUAAUGCUGUGUUCUGCUUUCAUUAUAGUCACUAUGAUGGAAAAAUAAAAAGUUAUCACACUAGAGAUCUAUUUACCUUAUGCUUAUUAACCGAUGCAUGUCCAACACUCACCAAAAAAAUUAUAAGAUAUACUGAACAGCAACAAAAAACAGAAGAGACAAAGAAAUAAGAAACCAGAUUCUGAUGUGAUACAGAUGUUGGAAUUAUGGGAUGAGGAAUUUCAAAGAAUUAUGAUCUACAAGGGCUGUAAUGGAAAAAGUAGACAACAUGCAAGAACAGAUGGGUAGUAUGAGUUGAGAUGGAAACUCUUAAGAACAAGUGGAAGGAAAACUGCUAGAAAUCAAAAACAUAGUAACAGAAACAAAGAAUACCUGGGCACAGAGCUGAAAGUUCCAGCCCUCUAGUCAUGCCUUGGUCUUUCUGUGAUUCGACCCAUCAUGAAGCAGUGAAAGUCACCUUAUUAGCAUAAACUCAGGUGUGGUUGAAAGGGAAUAGGUCAUGACAGUUCAUGGUCUAUUGAUAACCACAAGAAGAAUCUGAGAGCAGAGGUUCUUUUUCUCUCCUGUCACAACAAAAUACUUGAACGUCUGUCUCUUUACCUCUGCCUUUGGUAACUAGCACCUUUUCAAGGAUUUACUUGAGUGAUUAGUUACUGUGCUGGUUGGAGUGCAGAGACCUCAGGUCUCUGCCUUACCCUCCAACACACCACGUUAAGAAUGAGGCAUACACGUGGGGCAUUCUGACUAUACAAAUUAAGUAGUAUAUUAAUGAUUUAAAAAACCAAACCCUGUCUUUCAAACAAUAAUUAACAUGAAGAGGCAUAUAUUCACUGGUGUGAGAGCAAGGAUUGUAUGUACCCAAGAGCAAAAACUUUCUGCACUUUAUUCCAUGGACAAUAUGUUUUUGGAAAUGAACAUUUUAUCUUUUAACUGUUAAAGGCAGAAUAUUGGGAUUUUAAACACUUUUUAUGAAGUUUUUAUAUAUGGUAAAUCAGUAUUACCCCAGAAGAGUUUUCUAUUAAACAACAAAAAAGGAAACUAUUUGAGUUCAGGGGCUGGAUCUUAGCGAUGCUUCUAUCUUCAGUGUUUGCCACAGCUGCAGAAGAUGUUCAGUAAAUUUAGAUUGAUGUGUACAAAUCUGUGAAUCUUAACACAUGGACUAAAGUAGCUGAGUUUUGUUUAUUUUUCAGAAUCCUGUAACGAGGUCACAGUCUCCUCAAACAGUAGUCACUCUGUAGUAACAUAUAACUUGGUUGAAUGAGCAUUUGCUUUUUUCCCUUUGGUUAACUUGAACUGAAAUUCCUACAGCAACAAGGAACAUUUUUUUCUUUUAUUUGCAGUGGUAUUAACAGCUUGACUAGGUGGGGACAGGAGGAACUGGGUGUGAAAGAGAAUAAGAAAGCAACCACAGAAGGUGUUUGAACAGACUCUGAAGAGAUUUGGGUUUUGAUAGUAAGUGGGAGCAUGAGAGUAAAAGCCUGGAUGGUGGUGUUGAGUUUGAAUUUGAACCUUUUACCUAGAGGAAAUUAUGCUCAGCAUUGGGAGAAAACCAAACAGAUAAAUGUGGAGCUACAGUACUUGAGUUCUUGCAGUUAACAGCUGUUAUUUCCCAGCAAGACUGUGUGCCCAUUCUUGUGUCUGUACACUUGGGAGGUAAAGGAAUCUACAGGAAGAAUUUUGAACUCCAAAUAGACAUGACCAGAAAAGAACUACUCGACAUCAUGUCAUAAUUAGUCUGUCAAAACUAGAGACCAAAGAAAGGAUAGUGAAAGCUGAAAGAGAACAACAUCUUACAUGCAAAAGAACACAUAUAAGAUUAUCACUUCAGACCUCUCAGCACAAACUCUAAAAGCCAGGAAAUGGGAUUUUAUUCAGCCAUAAAGAAGAAUGAAAUUUUGUCAUUUGCAGGUAAAUGGAUGGAACUGGAGAACAUCCUCUUAAGCAAAGAGCCAGGUUUAGAAAGCCAAUGAUCACAUGUUUUCUCAUGGGUGGAACAGAGAAUGGGUAAAGGGGAGAAUGGGUUCCAAAUAUGGAGACAUACCUGUAAUUUAUAUAGUAAAACUACAUAUAGAGACAAAUGGAGAGAUGAAGAUUUUUUUUACCUCAUUGAAGCACUUUUAUUUCCACUUACUGAGUUCUGAAAACAGUGUUCAGAUUUGUAAAAUACUUGGUUUAAAACAGUUUUUAAAAUGUCUGUGAGGUUUGUGAAAGGAAAGCAAUAAAGUAAGUUUAUUGGGAUCUCAGCAUACAUUUUACAGUUAGAAGAUGAAAUCAGGCUAGUCCUCUAAAAGGGGAAUGUAUGGGCUGAUCAUCUUCCAAGGGAGUUUAAUUAUUAUGCUUCCAAAGAUAGAAGUUUUAUUCCCAAGAAGUGUAAUCAUUUAGAUACCCCUAAAAGAAAAAAAAAACAAAAUCUUUUUAACCUAUUUUGCUAUGAGUCUAUAGAAACUAAGGAUAAUGUCAUUUUCUUUAAACUAUCUAAAGUGUUGGAGAUUGGGCCUAGUGUCUGUUUCACAAUCAUAUUUCCUUAGGAAGCGUUUCCAAAUUUCCCUAGUAGGUGUUAAUCUAUAUCUUCCACUCAUGGGUUUCUGCAUUCAUUCAACAAACUGUUACCAACUGCUACUGUGUGGGUUUAGAACUGUGAGCAAGACAAACAUGGUAUCUCCUACUGUGAUCUGCAUGUUUGUCUCUGCCCCCAAGUUUACAUGUUGAAACUAGUCACUAAUGUGAUGGUUUUAAGAGCUGAGGCCUUUGGGAGGUGAUUAGUACCCUUACAAAAGAAUCCCUAGAGAGCUGCCUUGUUCUUUCUUCCAUUUGAGAACAUAGCCAGAAGAUGCCAUCUAUGAACCGGGAACUGGGCCCUCACCAGACAUCAGAUCUGCUAGUGCCUUGAUAAUGAGCUGCUUAGCCUCCAGAAUUAUGAGAAGUCAAUUUCUGUUGUUUAUAAACUUCUCAGUCUAUGACAUUUUGCUACAGACACCCAAAUAGAUUAAGACACCUGCUUUCCUAGAAUAUACGGUUUCAUGGGAGGAAUACAGUCUGUGUACACAGAGAUAAGAGGCAUGUCUUUAGUUGUGUAAUAGAUGAGGUUCAGGAUGCAUGCAAGUCUGGAAAGACUUCUUGGAGAAAGUGCUACCAAAGCAAAGUUAGAAUUAGCUGGGUGAACAGAGAAGUUUAGGAACGAUAUAUAAGAGUUGGGAAAUAGCCUUGUGAAGGGAAUAAAAGAGGCAUAGUGGAAAGGAAGCUCAGGGUGGUUCAAACUUGGGGCAGAGGGAGGAGGAAUUAGUGUCAGGAAGAGAAGUUAGAAAAAUAGUGGCUCUAGAAUCCUGAUAGCCUCAUCAGACCGCUCUCCUGAUAGCAAUGGUGAGCUAUUGAGGUGGCUGUAGACAUUUUAGAAGAAGCAUAGUGAGUGCCAAGUAGGGAGAAUGUAUUGGAGGGAGGCAAGGUCUUUGAAGGGUUAAAGAGAUAGGAUGUCAACACCAGAAUUCCAUUUUAAAUGUUUUAUUUCCUAGGAGCCACAACUAGUAACAAGUACUGCAUUAGUUAGGUUCCACUGAGAUAAUAGAUGCAAAGUUAGUAUUUCAGAUAGUGAUGAAUGAAAAUAGGGAAUUGGGGAUGUAGGGUACUGGAUGGCCAGAGAGCAAAUAGUGGAAGGAGAGGGAAUCUAAAGACUAGUAACUUCAAGAGGCUACUGUCUUCCUUGGGGCUGGGGGCCAAAAUGGGAGGGGAUGUUGUUAACUAAACCUGGAGUGGGGACAUUCAUAGAAUUGAUGUGCUGACUGAUAAGGAGGUGCUUGGACCUCUAGGGAGGGAUUGCCUUCUGGCCUUGAUGGUCUCAGUCAGACCAUCAAGGGGGUCUGUGACUGGUAGACAAAGCGCUAAAUGCAUGGGAAUCUAGAGCUAUUAGCUACUGUAGAGCCUGACAGAAGCUGGAAAACAGAGUGUCUUCUCUCCAUGUCUGCCUUCUAGUCUCCUGCCAUUGAUUCCAAUCGACAGAAUCCAAUAAGAAGCCAGUUGCAAGGGAGGCUGGGAAAUGUAGUUUAUAGACUUCUAGCUCCAGUAUCAUACAAUGAAGGCAGAGUGUGGGCUUGGCUGAGACAGCCGGUAACUGAUUUAUUCCAUGCAUUUUAGAAGAGUAACUCUUGCUGUAUACUGUGGGAAGUGAAUUGGAGGGAAGGAAACCUGCGUACUGGUCCAUCAGCCUGGAGGAUGUCAGUAGAAACCUAAGCAGGAAAUUAUGGUGUCUUGAUUUAGAACAAUGAUGAGUGAGAAAGAGAAGUGAGUAGAUGUGGAGAGAUUUAGAAAGCAGAGUUGAACAGCACUUGGCAGUGUACAUAUCAUGAGGGACUAGGAUCUGUAAGAAUAAAGGAUAGGGAGGAGUUGAGGAAGCUUACAUCUUUGACUUAGGUGUAUCAUAGUGCUGUUUACUGCGAUAGAAACAUAGGAUUGGAAACUGUUUAGAUUCAUUCAGUUUUGGACUUGCUGAGUUUGAAGUGCCGGUGGCUAAUCCAGGUGGAAAUUCAUUGCAGAUGUGAAGUAUUUUCAGCAUAUAGAUGGUAUUUGAAGUCUUAGGAAUGAAUGAGUUCACCAAGAGAGAAUUUAGAGUGCAUAGAGAAGACAGCAUAAGGCAGAACCUGGAGGAACAACAACAUUUUAGGAAAGAACACAAAUAGUGAAGUUUGUGAAGAGUACUAUAAGAGUGGUCAGAGAUGUUGGAAGAAAACCAGUGUGUGGUGUCCCAGGAGCCAGGGAACAGUGUUGAAAGAGGAGGUCAUGGUCAGUGAUUCAGGUGCUCUGCAGUUGACUGCUCUGUGUGCUUUGUGGUUCUGUGAUACUCAUUACGUCCUCCCGUUUUUCAGAGAACGAUUCUCCUCUGCUCGUUUAAUCAGUGGUCAGCAAAUUCCAGUUUGUAGAUCAGCCACUGUGUAUUAAGACACAGUUAUGCCCAUCCACUUAUGUAUUCUCUCUGACUGCUUUCACACUGUGGUAACAGCAGAGUUGGAUGGCUGUAUCAGAGACCAUAUGAUCUGCAGAGUUUAAACUAUUUACUCUGUGGCCUUUUAUGUUUGCUGACCCCUGGGUAAUGGUCUUACAUUAGGUGUUUUAUAUAAACUGAUAUGAUUAUCUUUGACCUUUUAUUUUUUCUUUCCCUGUUUUCAAAAAAUCUGUUUAACACUGUUAGUGGAGAUGUGGAGUAUAGAUUGUGCCUUCACAGAGUUGGUAAUGAUUUUGCUUUUGGCAUAGAGGUAGAGGAGCCAAUGGAAUGAAAAGCUAGUGAAUGGCUACAGCCAUCACUUUCAUGACCCUGGGGUUAAGUAGUACUCUUAAAAGGAAAACUGCAAGGAAAAGAAGGUGGAACAAAAGGAGAGAGAAGGAGGAUUAGAUCCAUGAGUUUAAGAUGCUUUUCCAGCUCUAUAAUAUGUAAGGUACUAUAUUUGAUGUUGGGGUUGCUUCAGUGGCUCAGAAUCUGGUUGGAAACACAGACCCAUAAGUGACCAUUAGUUUCCUACAACAUAGUUGACACAGUGAUAAGAUACGCAUAUUUGGUGGAAAAGAGUAACACUUAGCCUGGCUCAGUGGGAAGCAGCCGAAGAGGAGUCAUGGUAUCUAGAGAGGGGCUAUUAGUAGUCUCAGGUUUGAGUUGGCAGUAGAUAUAGAGGAUGUGAGCUGAGCUGGGGCCACCUCUCAGCUCUGAAUCAGAAGCCCUGUGUGAGAAGCAGGACCCUUGAGCUUGUGCAGUCAUGGGUAAAUGGCAGUUCUGAGGUCCUAAGCUAUCUAUUUGUCUGUCACCAAAGUUUGUCUUCUAGACAUUCUUUCUUUUUCUUUUCGUUCCUUUAUUUUUUAAAGACAUGUUUAGUGUGGUUUGAGUUUGUGGGAAUCAUAUCAUUGAAUUUGUUGAUUUUCUCCUAAUGUAAAGUACAACAGUUAUCUUGCAUUAAUAUAUCUUUGACUGGAUUUAUCUUGCCUUUGGGGAUGAUAAAAGCUCAGUGAACUGAGCAUCUAGUAUAGGCAGUGAAAGUCCUGUGUAUUUAAAACUCUGACCUGGGCGGUGUCAUUGUAUUAUCCACACACCUUAAUCAUAAGAAAUUACAUGUUCACAUUAGUCUGUGUUCUUCUAAUGACCUGUGUAAACUGAUUUGGGCAGAUCUUAGGCCUUUCCUACAUGAAUAAAGACAGUGAGAUUCAUACUUGCAGAUUUUAUUUGCUGAUAUUCAUUGCUUUUGUUAGGUUCUUUUGGUUGCAAGUAACAACUCAUUUCAAUUACUUUAGGAAAAUAGGAGUUUUUCAUAAGGUUGUAUAUGAACUGGAAGAGUGAAUGAUCCUAGGAAGUUCUGUGUACUUCUCGCUCUUCUUUCUUUUCUUCUCCUUUCCCUCUUUCUUCUCCCCCUCUUUUUGCCCACAUAUCUACACUGCCCUUUCUUCAACCUACAGAUGCACUUCUCUGGAAUUUUGCUUGUAUAUGACUAGUCUUCUUGCAGCCUCUCUCUGUAUCAUAAAUAACCUCAAAUCUUCAGCUCCUACUGUUGUAUGAACAUUAGCUCUGUUUUCUUAUAGUUUGCUUUCAGAAUCUGAUUGGUUUAGCUUAUCUCUCUCCUAGUGAGGCUGUAUUGUAGCUGGAUUUACUUUUCUUGGGUCAAGGGCCUUCUACUGUUCAACCGAGCUUGGACUGGGAGGCAUGCCCACAUUCAUAAAAUUAGAAGGUCAGUCAGCUUUCUUCAGAAGCACAAAAUGAGAAGCAAGGCAUCCUGGGGCACGAAUUGUCUUUGCCUAGCCCCAAACUCAUUUUUUACACAUAAUCCCAGUGAUCUUCUCUUCUAAUACAAUCAUCACAGGUAAAACUACACAGUCACUUCUUUUCCCAGAAGGAAGCAUCUGAAAGUCGUACAUUACGAAGCAGCCAUGGGGCCACUUACGAAGGAUCAUUCAUUUCAGUCUGAAUCCACAAUUUUCAAUGAUGUUUCUUACAACUCCAGGACUCUCAUCCAUUUUGCAACUCAUAGACUAAAUAGUGUAUGUGUCCACUCUGCCUGCCUUAUGUGCAAUGCUGAGGACUGUCAACACUCAUUUAACAAAGGGGAGAAGAGAUCUCUACCUCUCAAUAUAGCUGUGAAAGACACAUCGUACAUUGUCACUGGCUCAACAUGGGUUCUGUUUAGAAGACUAGAGUCUACACCUAGGGAUGAGCAGUCAUCUUGUUAGCAUUCUGAUGCUUGGAAAUAGUAAGGGUUUUUGGAGAAUCCAUGACUCCUAGGACCUUGGCUUGUGGCCUUGCCUCUUCUUCUGUGAAAUGAGUUCCCUGAUCUUUAAACUGCCACUUUAAAGGUACUGUCUGUAGGUUGUUGAUUGUUCAGGAUCUUUGGAAAUGCCUUGGAAUCUUCUCUUUUCUGUUCUACUUUUCCUUAUGAAAAUCUGGUUGUGGAGUUAUUUUUCUUUUCUUUUUAAUGAAUUCUUCAAAAGUUAAUGACAUGACAUAGAAUAGAAUAGAAAACUCAAACCAGGUUUUUUGGGGGGAGUUUUUCCUUCAACCCCUGUUUAAAAAAUUAGAGCACCCUAACUUUGUAAUAGAUAAAGUAGGUAUCUAUGGGAUUUUGGUUCUAUAAUUCAAGCUUGUUUAUUUCUAAGCAUUCUUUCUUGCUAAUUUCCAUGCGGCUUCUAAGUUAAUUGCAUAGGGAAAAAUGAAAAAUUUAUUUUUCUUCACUGUAUCGAUAAUACUUUUGGAUUUGCACUUAAUCAUUUACUUUUCUAUCUCGCAAAAUACAGUGAGCUGUCUUUAUAUUUACAUACUAUUGAGAAGCAUAUGAUAAAUGAGCAGAACUGCAAUAGUGGAAAUUAGCAUAGCAAUUUUGUAAAUAACCCAGCGUGAAGGAACACUGUGGCCAAGAAACACCCAUGUCACCAACUAAUACCAAGUAACUUCAAACUAAUGAAGGCAUGGGUACUUUUUAAUGAUAUGUUAUUUAUCUACCUUAUCUCGUUUUAUUAAUUUUAAUUUGGCUAAUAAAAGUUCCUGAUUUGUAACCCUGUACUCUUUCUCUUUGGGGCUUCCCAGUUCUAGCUGGGUUGCCUUAUGCAAAGCCAUUCCAUCAAAUACCACAUUGGUACAGCCAUCUAGAACCCCAGGCGAAUUUCUGUGUUACAGGAAGAUACACAGAGUUAGCAGACCAAUGGUGUAAUAAUGGGUUGUCUUAGGUAUUUCAUAUAGGGAGUGAAACACAUGGUGAUUGUCUAGGAAAUAAUACCUUGGCAUUAUAUAAUAUUACGCUCCAAGUGUUUUUAUGGUGAACACAGAAAUCUAAGAAGUUUGCUGCAUAGGACUUUGAGAGAAAGGCUAGAUAUAAAAUUUAAAAACAAAAAGCUAAAAAACCCACAGAUCUUCCAUAGUUAAGCCCUGAUUUGAUAUCCUUGAAACAGCACCAGUUACACAGAACUGCUUUACAGGUUCAGCGCUCCAUCUGGCAUAGUCUCCUGACAUUUUCUGCCCUGCUGUGCCUCUCCAUGGGCAGUACUUGUCUUAUUUAUCUCUGAGAUUCCUAGCACAGAUUUGGAACACAGUAGAUACUCAACAAAAUGCUUGACUGAAAGCAUGAAAACAUAAAUAGAUAAGGUCUAGCUUUCGAGUUUCUGUGGAACACUGAUUCUAUAUAAAGAGAUUAACUAGUACAGCAGUGGAAGAAAACUACCAGGCUGGGAUUUUUAAGAAUACCAAUCAAGUAGAUGCAAAUCCUUGAAUAUACAUCUUUGCCUGUUUGUUUAGUGAUUUGAAUUGGAAAAAGUACCUAUGAGUAAGAUGUGCAGUUUUAAUAGUUGUGCCUAUUUUUAGAGUUUGUACAUAAACUGAGGUGUCCUGCAGAAGUUUAUACCAGUUGACAGUGUUUGAGACUACUGGCAUACCACACUACUCUCCCUGACACACAUUUCACCAUCUUUGUAUGUUCUCUCUCCAGAGCCUGGUCUGUGGUACUUUAUCAGAGCAGUGGGCAUGUUGGAAGAGCAUAUAAACUGUUCAUAAAUCUUACAAGGGCUGAGCACUGGUGGCUCAUACCUGUAAUCCUUGCUACUCAGGAAGCAAAGAUCAGGAGGAUCAUAGUUCAAAGCCAGCCU
Castor canadensis (American beaver) is the source of this 14253-nucleotide non-coding RNA. The record is from RefSeq and is a predicted model, not a curated record. NCBI's taxonomy places the organism in Eukaryota, Metazoa, Chordata, Mammalia, Rodentia, Castoridae.